This 497-nucleotide ribosomal RNA is filed under the name uncultured bacterium. RNAcentral describes it as "partial 16S ribosomal RNA". It matches the Rfam family "Bacterial small subunit ribosomal RNA", at positions 28 to 507 of the family's 1533-position model. The record is from RNAcentral.
GAUGAACGCUGGCGGCGUGCCUAAUACAUGCAAGUCGAGCGAACGGACGAGAAGCUUGCUUCUCUGAUGUUAGCGGCGGACGGGUGAGUAACACGUGGAUAACCUACCUAUAAGACUGGGAUAACUUCGGGAAACCGGAGCUAAUACCGUAUAAUAUUUUGAACCGCAUGGUUCAAAAGUUAAAGACGGUCUUGCUGUCACUUAUAGAUGGAUCCGCGCUGCAUUAGCUAGUUGGUAAGGUAACGGCUUACCAAGGCAACGAUGCAUAGCCGACCUGAGAGGGUGAUCGGCCACACUGGAACUGAGACACGGUCCAGACUCCUACGGGAGGCAGCAGUAGGGAAUCUUCCGCAAUGGGCGAAAGCCUGACGGAGCAACGCCGCGUGAGUGAUGAAGGUCUUCGGAUCGUAAAACUCUGUUAUUAGGGAAGAACAUAUGUGUAAGUAACUGUGCACAUCUUGACGGUACCUAAUCAGAAAGCCACGGCUAACUACGUG